AGAGUUUGAUCAUGGCUCAGAAUCAACGCUGGUGGCGUGCCUAACACAUGCAAGUCGAACGCGAAAGUCCCGCAAGGGAUCAGUAGAGUGGCAAACGGGUGAGUAACACGUGGGUGACCUGCCUUCGAGUGGGGGAUAACGUCCCGAAAGGGACGCCAAUACCGCAUGACAUCCUGCCUUUGAAUAGGCGGAGAUCAAAGCUGGGGAUCGCAAGACCUAGCGCUCAAAGAGGGGCCCGCGCCUGAUUAGCUAGUUGGUGGGGUAACGGCUCACCAAGGCAACGAUCAGUAUCCGGCCUGAGAGGGCGGACGGACACACUGGGACUGAGACACGGCCCAGACUCCUACGGGAGGCAGCAGUGGGGAAUUGUUCGCAAUGGGCGCAAGCCUGACGACGCAACGCCGCGUGGAGGAUGAAGAUCUUCGGGUCGUAAACUCCUUUCGAUCGAGACGAACGGCUCCCGGGUAAACAAUCCGGGAGAGUGACGGUACCGAGAGAAGAAGCCCCGGCUAACUCCGUGCCAGCAGCCGCGGUAAUACGGGGGGGGCAAGCGUUGUUCGGAAUUACUGGGCGUAAAGGGCUCGUAGGCGGCCAACUAAGUCAGACGUGAAAUCCCUCGGCUUAACCGGGGAACUGCGUCUGAUACUGGAUGGCUAGAGUUUGGGAGAGGGAUGCGGAAUUCCAGGUGUAGCGGUGAAAUGCGUAGAUAUCUGGAGGAACACCGGUGGCGAAGGCGGCAUCCUGGACCAACACUGACGCUGAGGAGCGAAAGCCAGGGGAGCAAACGGGAUUAGAUACCCCGGUAGUCCUGGCCCUAAACGAUGAAUGCUUGGUGUGGCGGGUAUCGAUCCCUGCCGUGCCGAAGCUAACGCAUUAAGCAUUCCGCCUGGGGAGUACGGUCGCAAGGCUGAAACUCAAAUGAAUUGACGG
Molecule: ribosomal RNA, 930 nt
Filed under: uncultured bacterium
Lineage: Bacteria
Description: bacterial SSU rRNA
Rfam family: Bacterial small subunit ribosomal RNA
Source: RNAcentral